This is a long non-coding RNA of Ruditapes philippinarum (Manila clam), 1573 nucleotides long. RefSeq lists it as uncharacterized. The record is from RefSeq and is a predicted model, not a curated record. NCBI's taxonomy places the organism in Eukaryota, Metazoa, Mollusca, Bivalvia, Venerida, Veneridae. The transcript has 3 exons.
UAUUAUUUUCAUUUAUCAUCUGCACUUCAGAGGUUGUUUUUCAACAAAAACGUUAGUUCAGAUACGCAAAAAUGAAACAUAUUAAUCUAUUAGCAGUAUUUGUGUGUUUCAUUGUAUUGCUGGAUACAACAGAUGCAUGGGAAGGACACUUCGAAGUAGUAAGACGAAACAGAAAAGUAUUAGAGCGUUAUUGUGCGAAAUGGACUGAUUGGUGGGGAUGUUUCUACUAUAAAUCCUACUGGAGAACCGUUUACUAUUAUGAAACAAUUUGCAGUCCUGGGUGGACACACAAUGGGGAUCAAGACUGUUCUAUUAGAAUCUGAUUUCGACAAAUUCGCAGGAUAUAUACAAUUAUAGUAUUUACUUUUAUGAAGACAUACAAACUUUUUCCAAAUUCUAAAUUGAUGUAUUCGUGUCGGCCUGCUUUUACUUAUUUCAAGACAUAUAUGUCUAUUGUAGUGUGCAUUUCUCAGAAAUGAAAAAAAUGUUGUUUUUUAGUUGUGUCUCAACAUUUUAUAGGAUAAAAAGAUGACAAGUUUAUAAUACUUUUUUUGUAAUAAGUGCAAUAAAGAAUUACAUGUUUCAUAAUUUAUCACUGAUAAUUGUUGAUUGACAUACUAUAAGAAGCUAUACGUACAAUAAAAAAUCUUAUUUAAAGGCACAUGUAAGACAAUUAGACCCUAUGACUUCUCGACCACUUUGGUUAUUAAGAUUACUUCUAGACCCUAUGGCUUUUCGACCCCUCAGGAUUUUAAGAUGACUUCCCGAACCUUGACUUCUCGAUCCCUUAGGGAACCCGACCCUUUGACUCUCGACCUCUUAGGAGUUUAAGAUGACCUAUAGACCCUUUUGACUUUUAGAUUUCUUUUAACAAUUUUUUUCGACCCCCAAAGGGGGUCCCUUUUGAGCUUAUCGAAUUAAUAUACAAAUGUACCAAUUUUACUCAAAGACACAUUAAAGACCCAUUAUGCUCCAGAAUGCUUUUACUUUUAUUUUUCAAAAGCUUUUUUAAAAUUUUUUGUGGUGUUUUAAAACGUUACUGAUUGGCCAGAUUCCUGAAUCAUCUUUUGCAUCUGUAGCUUUUUGUUACAGUGAUUAAGAAUUUGUAUGGAAGCAAAAAUACUAUUAGUUUUUAUAUUUUGCAACUUUAUAACUUCACAUUUGUCACUACUAUCCUAAGGAAAUAAACAUAUAACUUGCUCUAAAUUACCUAAACGUUAUAAAACCCGCUUUUCCCAUUUCUAAAGACGUUUCUUAAAGUUUCACGAUAUGCAUUUAGCAUUUAAUGAUUGACUAAGAGUUGAAAAUGUUAAGACCCAAAGAAAAGCACUUUUAGCAAAUUUGUUCAGAUACCUUGUGUAAAUGAUAUGAGAUAUAUUUCAAGAUUUAAAUUAUCAUACCUUUUGAGUUAAUCGAAUUAUUAUACCAAUUUUACUCUAAGACGCGCAUAGUUUAACGUUAUCAAAUUUAUGCAAUGCAACACAUGCAAUUUGAAAUAAAUUUUCAUUUUAUGAAUACAAUGUAUGUUGUUACAUUUAUUAUAUACUUAUAAAUAAAAUAUUGAGACAUUGCA